GUUCUUUAAUUACAAGGAGUAUUAUUCUUUUGUAUUAAUGGCAGUUGUCGAUUCAGAGUACCGAUUUAUUUUUAUUAGUGUGGGCUCAUUUGGCAAGGAAUGCGAUUCUAGUAUAUUAAAGGAUAGUACAUUUUGGCAAAAGAUCAAUGAUGGUACUUUAAAUGUACCAAAGCCUAGACCGCUUCAUGAAAACUUGCACGAAGAAUUACCGUUUAUACUUGUUGGCGAUGAAGGCUUUGCUUUAACACCUAAUCUCCUACGUCCAUAUGGAGAUAUUGGUUCCGUUCCGUGGCAGGCAGCAGCUAUAAAAUAAAAUUUAUCAAUGCAUUUACAUUUUAUCAAUAAAACAUUAAAAACUCA
Pieris napi is the source of this 360-nucleotide long non-coding RNA. RefSeq lists it as uncharacterized. The record is from RefSeq and is a predicted model, not a curated record. The transcript has 2 exons. Lineage: Eukaryota; Metazoa; Arthropoda; Insecta; Lepidoptera; Pieridae.